UACACACCGCCCGUCACAUCACGAAAGUGGGUUGUACUAGAAGUCGGUGGGCUAACCGCAAGGAAGCAGCCGCCCAAGGUAUAACUCAUGAUUGGGGUG
Molecule: ribosomal RNA, 99 nt
Filed under: uncultured bacterium
Lineage: Bacteria
Description: partial 16S ribosomal RNA
Rfam family: Bacterial small subunit ribosomal RNA
Source: RNAcentral